RNAcentral lists this ribosomal RNA (422 nucleotides) under uncultured bacterium. RNAcentral's name for it is "bacterial SSU rRNA". It matches the Rfam family "Bacterial small subunit ribosomal RNA", at positions 355 to 774 of the family's 1533-position model. The record is from RNAcentral.
UGAGGAAUAUUGGACAAUGGAUGGAAAUCUGAUCCAGCCAUGCCGCGUGCAGGAAGACGGCCCUAUGGGUUGUAAACUGCUUUUGUAUGGGAGCAAUAAGGACUACGUGUAGUUUGAUGAGAGUACCAUACGAAUAAGCAUCGGCUAACUACGUGCCAGCAGCCGCGGUAAUACGUAGGCAGCAAGCGUUGUUCGGAGUUACUGGGCGUAAAGAGUGCGUAGGCGGUUUUCUAAGUUCGGUGUGAAAUCUCCCGGCUUAACUGGGAGGGUGCGCCGAAGACUGGGAAGCUGGAGUGUGGGAAAGGCAGGCGGAAUUCCUGGUGUAGCGGUGAAAUGCGUAGAUAUCAGGAGGAACACCGGCGGUGUAGACGGCUUGCUAGACCAUAACUGACGCUGAGGCACGAAAGCGUGGGUAGCAAACA